RNAcentral lists this ribosomal RNA (209 nucleotides) under uncultured prokaryote. RNAcentral's name for it is "partial 16S ribosomal RNA". It matches the Rfam family "Bacterial small subunit ribosomal RNA", at positions 524 to 732 of the family's 1533-position model. The record is from RNAcentral.
UACGGAGGAUGCAAGCGUUAUCCGGAAUGAUUGGGCGUAAAGCGUCCGCAGGUGGCUGUGUAAGUCUGCUGUUAAAGAGCAAAGCUUAACUUUGUAAAAGCAGUGGAAACUACACAGCUAGAGUGCAGAAGGGGCAACUGGAAUUCUCGGUGUAGCGGUGAAAUGCGUAGAUAUCGAGAGGAACACCUGCGGCGAAGGCGGGUUGCUGG